GGGCAUAAGUCUCCUACACUAUAGUAGAGCAAGCAAGGCAAAUAGAAGUAAGCCUAAUGAUAGUAAUGGUAACACAAAAAACAUAUUCUAUUGUUUUGGGAGAAUUACUCAGCUAACAAUAUUUGAAAUUUUGUGCUAAUCUUUCUAUUAUUGUUGCAAUAAGGCAAAAAAUAUGUAUGGUUAAAAACACUAAGCAGGAAAAAAAAGGUGAAGAAAAGUUCUCUAUAGUUUGCAAACCUGAUUAAAUUACAGCAUUUAAUAGACCAAUGAUGAAUGGAGUAGACAGAUUUGCAUUUUCCCCUAACAGAACCUUGUUCUAAAGACUCAAAUAUUUGAAAUGCUUCAUCAAUUCUUUAGGCCUCUCCCAAACCCUUUCAAACAACAAAUUAAGAAGAAGAAGAAGAAGAAGAA
RNAcentral lists this unclassified non-coding RNA (411 nucleotides) under Hevea brasiliensis (rubber tree). The record is from RNAcentral. Lineage: Eukaryota; Viridiplantae; Streptophyta; Magnoliopsida; Malpighiales; Euphorbiaceae.